UAAACCAGGAUUAGAUACCCUAUUAUAUUUAAACAAAUUGGGUAGUAUUAUUAAUAAAAACCUUUAUACUUUGGCGGCAUUUUAUCUUAUUAGAGGAAUAUGUUCAUUAAUCGAAACCACACGAUAGUUUUUACUUACUAUAAAAUUUUAUAUACCCCCGUCUAAAGAAUUUAUUUAAAAUUUUUAUUCCAAAUUAUAUUAAAAAAAGUUAGGUAAAGGUGUAGACUAUUAGUAAGAUUAAAUGUAUUACAUUAAAAAAAAUUUAAGGAUAAAACAGUUAACUGUUUAUUAAAAGAGGAUUUAUAAGUAAUUUACUUUUAAUAAAAAUUAAUGAAUAAGAAAAUAAAUGUGCACAUAUCGCCCGUCACUCUCACAUAUAAACCAGGAUUAGAUACCCUAUUAUACAUAUCGCCCGUCACUCUCA
RNAcentral lists this ribosomal RNA (424 nucleotides) under Sancus acoreensis. RNAcentral's name for it is "partial 12S ribosomal RNA". Lineage: Eukaryota; Metazoa; Arthropoda; Arachnida; Araneae; Tetragnathidae. The record is from RNAcentral.